GAUGAACGCUGGCGGCGUGCUUAACACAUGCAAGUCGAACGAAGCACCUUAUUCUGAUUUCUUCGGAAUGAAAAAUUUGGUGACUGAGUGGCGGACGGGUGAGUAACGCGUGGGUAACCUGCCUCAUACAGGGGGAUAACAGUUAGAAAUGACUGCUAAUACCGCAUAAGACCACAGCACCGCAUGGUGCAGGGGUAAAAACUCCGGUGGUAUGAGAUGGACCCGCGUCUGAUUAGGUAGUUGGUGGGGUAACGGCCUACCAAGCCGACGAUCAGUAGCCGACCUGAGAGGGUGACCGGCCACAUUGGGACUGAGACACGGCCCAAACUCCUACGGGAGGCAGCAGUGGGGAAUAUUGCACAAUGGGGGAAACCCUGAUGCAGCGACGCCGCGUGAGCGAUGAAGUAUUUCGGUAUGUAAAGCUCUAUCAGCAGGGAAGAAAAUGACG
RNAcentral lists this ribosomal RNA (448 nucleotides) under uncultured bacterium. Its description in RNAcentral is "bacterial SSU rRNA". It matches the Rfam family "Bacterial small subunit ribosomal RNA", at positions 28 to 456 of the family's 1533-position model. The record is from RNAcentral.